CUUAUACUCCCUCCGUCCCGAAUUACUUGUCGCAGGUAUGGAUAUAUCUAGAUGUAUUUUAGUUAUAAAUAAAUCAAUUUCUAUCCAUUUCUGCGACGAGUAAUUUGGGACGGAGGGAGUAGUUA
Non-coding RNA from Triticum aestivum (bread wheat), 125 nucleotides. The record is from Rfam. NCBI's taxonomy places the organism in Eukaryota, Viridiplantae, Streptophyta, Magnoliopsida, Poales, Poaceae.